CAGUUCGGAUUGCAGUCUGCAACUCGAGUGCAUGAAGCUGGAAUCGCUAGUAAUCGCGGAUCAGAAUGCCGCGGUGAAUACGUUCCCGGGUCUUGUACACACCGCCCGUCACACCAUGGGAGCCGGUAACGCCCGAAGUCAGUGGCCCAACCGAGGAGGGGGGAGCUGCCGAAGGCGGGACUGGUAACUGGGGUGAAGUCGUAACAAGGUAAC
RNAcentral lists this ribosomal RNA (213 nucleotides) under uncultured bacterium. RNAcentral describes it as "partial 16S ribosomal RNA". It matches the Rfam family "Bacterial small subunit ribosomal RNA", at positions 1289 to 1500 of the family's 1533-position model. The record is from RNAcentral.